Long non-coding RNA from Penaeus chinensis, 425 nucleotides. RefSeq lists it as uncharacterized. Lineage: Eukaryota; Metazoa; Arthropoda; Malacostraca; Decapoda; Penaeidae. The transcript is spliced from 4 exons. The record is from RefSeq and is a predicted model, not a curated record.
UGUCACGCCCUCCAACUAGCAGGAGUGACCAUUGAGGGCUGCGUGCUCAUGGCAUCGCCGCCGUAUUGACCCCUGACUCAUGACCCCUGACCUUGACCCGUACACCUACACUCUACUUCGAGUCACGGGCCCGCUCGGACGCUGCCUCUUCCCGGGAGCCACCCUCCAGGGCCCCCACCUUGCCGGGUCUACCCGCUAUUUCUGCACAAGCCGGCCACUUUAACCCCCGUCCACAACAACCUCCCAUAAUAAAGACUGUAACCAGACAGUAAGAUCAAGGAACGUUGUUGGCGUGUGGGCAGUGCAAGAGUCAGCGCUGGUGAGGUGGCAGUCGGGGAUCGUAUUAGCAUGACGAGUGUGUUGGGUACGUGUUGUCGGGGCUCUGGCGUGAUCCGGCCGAGCAUCGCGGCGGCGCUGAUUUGUCC